AGAGUUUGAUCCUGGCUCAGGAUGAACGCUGGCGGCGUGCAUAACACAUGCAAGUCGAACGGGAUUACAGGAAGGUUUACCGGAAUGUAAUCUAGUGGCGCACGGGUGAGUAACGCGUAGAUAACCUGUCUUCACGUCUGGAAUAAUACGCCGAAAGGGGUACUAAUACCGGAUAUUCUUGCUUUUCAUAAGUUUUGCAAGGAAAGGUGGCCUCUGAAUAUGCUACUGCGCGAAGAGGGGUCUGCGUACCAUUAGCUAGUAGGUGGGGUAAUGGCCUACCUAGGCUACGAUGGUUAGCGGGUCUGAGAGGAUGAUCCGCCACACUGGCACUGGAACACGGGCCAGACUCCUACGGGAGGCAGCAGUGAGGAAUAUUGCGCAAUGGGGGAAACCCUGACGCAGCGACGCCGCGUGAGUGAGGAAGGCCUUCGGGUCGUAAAGCUCUGUCAAAGGGAAAGAAGUGCAUGAUGGCUAAUACCUGUCAUGUUUGACGGUACCCUUAAAGGAAGCACCGGCUAACUCCGUGCCAGCAGCCGCGGUAAUACGGAGGGUGCAAGCGUUGUUCGGAAUCACUGGGCGUAAAGGGCGCGUAGGCGGUUUGAUAAGUCAGAUGUGAAAGCCCACGGCUUAACUGUGGAAGUGCAUUUGAAACUGUCAGACUUGAGUAUCAGAGGGGAAAGUGGAAUUCCCGGUGUAGAGGUGAAAUUCGUAGAUAUCGGGAGGAAUACCGGUGGCGAAGGCGACUUUCUGGCUGAAUACUGACGCUGAGGCGCGAAAGCGUGGGGAGCAAACAGGAUUAGAUACCCUGGUAGUCG
This 815-nucleotide ribosomal RNA is filed under the name uncultured bacterium. Its description in RNAcentral is "bacterial SSU rRNA". It matches the Rfam family "Bacterial small subunit ribosomal RNA", at positions 8 to 796 of the family's 1533-position model. The record is from RNAcentral.